GACGAACGCUGGCGGCGUGCUUAACACAUGCAAGUCGAACGGAAAGGCCCUGCUUUUGUGGGGUGCUCGAGUGGCGAACGGGUGAGUAACACGUGAGUAACCUGCCCUUGACUUUGGGAUAACUUCAGGAAACUGGGGCUAAUACCGGAUAGGAGCUCCUGCUGCAUGGUGGGGGUUGGAAAGUUUCGGCGGUUGGGGAUGUACUCGCGGCUUAUCAGCUUGUUGGUGGGGUAGUGGCUUACCAAGGCUUUGGCGGGUAGCCGGCCUGAGAGGGUGACCGGCCACAUUGGGACUGAGAUACGGCCCAGACUCCUACGGGAGGCAGCAGUGGGGAAUAUUGCACAAUGGGCGGAAGCCUGAUGCAGCAACGCCGCGUGCGGGAUGACGGCCUUCGGGUUGUAAACCGCUUUCGCCUGUGACGAAGCGUGAGUGACGGUAAUGGGUAAAGAAGCACCGGCUAACUACGUG
This 468-nucleotide ribosomal RNA is filed under the name uncultured bacterium. RNAcentral's name for it is "partial 16S ribosomal RNA". It matches the Rfam family "Bacterial small subunit ribosomal RNA", at positions 28 to 507 of the family's 1533-position model. The record is from RNAcentral.